CCUACGGGUGGCAGCAGUGAGGAAUAUUGGUCAAUGGGCGGGAGCCUGAACCAGCCAAGUCGCGUGAGGGAAGACGGUCCUAUGGAUUGUAAACCUCUUUAGGCGGGGAGCAAUGCCGGGCACGUGUGCCCGGAGGGAGAGUACCCGCAGAAUCAGCAUCGGCUAACUCCGUGCCAGCAGCCGCGGUAAUACGGAGGAUGCGAGGGUUAUCCGGAUUUAGUGGGUUAAAGGGGUGCGUAGGCGGAUUUUUAAGUCAGCGGGAAAAUGGCCGGGCUCAACCCGGGCCGGCCGUUGAAACUGGGGAUCUUGAGUGGGCGAGAGGUAUGCGGAAUGCGUGGUGUAGCGGUGAAAUGCAUAGAUAUCACGCAGAACUCCGAUUGCGAAGGCAGCAUACCGGCGCCCGACUGACGCUGAGGCACGAAAGCGUGGGGAUCGAACAGGAUUAGAUACCCUUGUAGUC
Molecule: ribosomal RNA, 460 nt
Filed under: uncultured bacterium
Lineage: Bacteria
Description: partial 16S ribosomal RNA
Rfam family: Bacterial small subunit ribosomal RNA
Source: RNAcentral